UUGAUCCUGGCUCAGAAUCAACGCUGGCGGCGUGCCUAACACAUGCAAGUCGAACGAGAAAGUGGAGCAAUCCAUGAGUAAAGUGGCGACCGGGUGAGUUACACGUGACUAACCUACCUUCGAGUGGGGGAUAACCUCGGGAAACCGGGUCUAAUACCGCAUAAUGCCUUCGGGUUAAAGGAGCAAUUCGCUUGAAGAGUGGGUCGCGGCUGAUUAGCUAGUUGGCGGGGUAACGGCCCACCAAGGCGAUGAUCGGUAGCCGGCCUGAGAGGGCGCACGGCCACACUGGAACUGAAACAUGGUCCAGACUCCUACGGGAGGCAGCAGUGGGGAAUUUUGCGCAAUGGGGUAAACCCUGACGCAGCAACGCCGCGUGGAGGAUGAAGUCCCUUGGGACGUUAACUCCUUUCGACCGGGACGAUAAUGACGGUACCGGUGGAAGAAGCCCCUGCUAACUUCGUGCCAGCAGCCGCGGUAAUU
This 480-nucleotide ribosomal RNA is filed under the name uncultured Acidobacteriota bacterium. Its description in RNAcentral is "bacterial SSU rRNA". It matches the Rfam family "Bacterial small subunit ribosomal RNA", at positions 13 to 525 of the family's 1533-position model. The record is from RNAcentral. Lineage: Bacteria; Pseudomonadati; Acidobacteriota.